CUGGCUCAGGAUGAACGCUGGCGGCGUGCCUAAUACAUGCAAGUCGAACGAGAGUGCUUGCACUCUAGUGGCGAACGGGUGAGUAACACGUAGGUAACCUGCCUUACAGUUGGGAUACCCUGGCGAAAGCUAGGCUAAUACCGAAUAAUUGGAUUGGAGGCAUCUCCGAUCUCUAAAAGGGGCCUUUAAAGCCUCGCUGAAUGAUGGACCUGCGGCGCAUUAGCUAGUUGGUGAGAUAACAGCCCACCAAGGCGAGGAUGCGUAGCCGACCUGAGAGGGUGAACGGCCACACUGGAACUGAGACACGGUCCAGACUCCUACGGGAGGCAGCAGUAGGGAGUUUUCGGCAAUGGGGGCAACCCUGACCGAGCAACGCCGCGUGAAUGAUAGAAGGUCUUCGGAUUGUAAAGUUCUGUUAUAAGGGAAAAAUGAUAUGGUGAGGAAAUGCUCCAUAUUUGAUGGUACCUUAUUAGAAAGCCACGGCUAACUACGUGCCAGCCGCCGC
This 505-nucleotide ribosomal RNA is filed under the name uncultured bacterium. Its description in RNAcentral is "bacterial SSU rRNA". It matches the Rfam family "Bacterial small subunit ribosomal RNA", at positions 19 to 518 of the family's 1533-position model. The record is from RNAcentral.